AUACGUAGGGGGCGAGCGUUGUCCGGAAUGAUUGGGCGUAAAGGGCGCGUAGGCGGCCCGGUAAGUCUGGAGUGAAAGUCCUGUUUUUAAGAUGGGAAUUGCUUUGGAUACUGUCGGGCUUGAGUGCAGGAUAGGUAAGUGGAAUUCCCAGUGUAGCGGUGAAAUGCGUAGAGAUUGGGAGGAACACCAGUGGCGAAGGCGACUUAUUGGACUGUAACUGACGCUGAGGCACGAAAGUGUGGGGAGCAAACAGGAUUAGAUACCCUGGUAGUCCACACUGUAAACGAUGAAUGCUAGGUGUAGGGGGUAUCGACCCCUUCUGUGCCGCAGUCAACACAAUAAGCAUUCCGCCUGGGGAGUACGGCCGCAAGGUUGAAACUCAAAGGAAUUGACGGGG
This 397-nucleotide ribosomal RNA is filed under the name uncultured bacterium. Its description in RNAcentral is "partial 16S ribosomal RNA". It matches the Rfam family "Bacterial small subunit ribosomal RNA", at positions 523 to 918 of the family's 1533-position model. The record is from RNAcentral.